RNAcentral lists this ribosomal RNA (908 nucleotides) under human gut metagenome. RNAcentral's name for it is "bacterial SSU rRNA". It matches the Rfam family "Bacterial small subunit ribosomal RNA", at positions 8 to 909 of the family's 1533-position model. The record is from RNAcentral.
AGAGUUUGAUCCUGGCUCAGGAUGAACGCUAGCGGCAGGCCUAACACAUGCAAGUCGAGGGGCAGCGGGAAUGAAGCUUGCUUCAUUUGCCGGCGACCGGCGCACGGGUGCGUAACGCGUAUGUAACCUACCCUGAACUGGGGAAUAACACUGAGAAAUCGGUACUAAUACCCCAUAAUACACUGGAAGGCAUCUUCUGGUGUUGAAAGCUCCGGCGGUUCAAGAUGGACAUGCGUUGUAUUAGUUAGUUGGUGAGGUAACGGCUCACCAAGGCGACGAUACAUAGGGGGACUGAGAGGUUAACCCCCCACAUUGGUACUGAGACACGGACCAAACUCCUACGGGAGGCAGCAGUGAGGAAUAUUGGUCAAUGGACGCAAGUCUGAACCAGCCAUGCCGCGUGCAGGAAGACGGCUCUAUGAGUUGUAAACUGCUUUUGUACGAGGGUAAACUCGGAUACGCGUAUCCGACUGAAAGUAUCGUACGAAUAAGGAUCGGCUAACUCCGUGCCAGCAGCCGCGGUAAUACGGAGGAUCCAAGCGUUAUCCGGAUUUAUUGGGUUUAAAGGGUGCGUAGGCGGUUUGAUAAGUUAGAGGUGAAAGCUCGGGGCUUAACUCCGAGACUGCCUCUAAUACUGUUGAGCUAGAGAGUAGUUGCGGUAGGCGGAAUGUAUGGUGUAGCGGUGAAAUGCUUAGAGAUCAUACAGAACACCGAUUGCGAAGGCAGCUUACCAAACUAUAUCUGACGUUGAGGCACGAAAGCGUGGGGAGCAAACAGGAUUAGAUACCCUGGUAGUCCACGCAGUAAACGAUGAUAGCUCGUUGUCGGCGAUACACAGUCGGUGACUAAGAGAAAUCGAUAAGCUAUCCACCUGGGGAGUACGUUCGCAAGAAUGAAACUCAAAGGAA